GAUCCGGUAGUUCAGCUGGUUAGAAUGCCGCCCUGUCACGGCGGAGGUCGCGGGUUCGAGUCCCGUCCGGAUCCCUA
RNAcentral lists this transfer RNA (77 nucleotides) under Chryseobacterium sp. Leaf405. RNAcentral describes it as "tRNA-Asp". It matches the Rfam family "tRNA". From Rfam's summary of the family: Transfer RNA (tRNA) molecules are approximately 80 nucleotides in length. Their secondary structure includes four short double-helical elements and three loops (D, anti-codon, and T loops). The record is from RNAcentral. Lineage: Bacteria; Pseudomonadati; Bacteroidota; Flavobacteriia; Flavobacteriales; Weeksellaceae.